This 882-nucleotide long non-coding RNA is filed under the name Mytilus galloprovincialis (Mediterranean mussel). Lineage: Eukaryota; Metazoa; Mollusca; Bivalvia; Mytilida; Mytilidae. The record is from RNAcentral.
UGUCUUAAUACUUUUUUUUCAAGUUGCCUUUUUUUUCAAUUGAGGAAGAUUCAAUGGUUAUUUUUUUUUUUAUUAAAAAUACACUCUUUAAUACGUUGUCUUAUAAAUCUUUUAAUAUCUACAUUUUUCUGAUGAAAAUACUCUACUCAUGAAAACAUUCUAGUCAAGAGGCAUACAUGUCUGAAUAUAUUUCUUUAAAACAGUUCUAGUCAGAAUGACAUUCCUUGUUUAUAAGUGUUCCAGUAUUUAAUAAUUAUACCAUAUUUUAUGUCAUAAAUUGGAUAAUGACACUAUGUUAAAGUUUCAGUUUUGGUUAAAAAGUUUUUUUAUCUGAAAAUGCCUGUUCAUUUGAUGUUGGUUUUCAGCAUGUCCAGUGUUUGUUGUUUUAAAAUGUUUUUUUUUUCUUCACAAGAAACUUGGUUUAGUGUAACUGCUUGUUUAAACUGUAUUUUGGCUGAUUAAAUAAAAUAUUUUUCCUACCUACCGACCCUUCAGUCUGAAGGUACAGUCGGAAAACUGCAAACAAACAUAUUUUUAAGGUUGGCCACAUUUAAAAGAAUGUCUGUUUCCCCUCUCCCGGGUCUACCCUUGGUUAACAGACCAGGAAGGCGAUUAUUUUUUUUUUUUAACUUGAAGUCAUAGCCUCUUCACAUAAUGGUUUGACUGUUCAGUUGAGGCCACUUAUCAGUUAUUUAUGCUCAAUUUGAGUGUAUUUAUUGAAAUUAUCGAUCCUUUUGCUUUCAAGCACUACAAAAAUAGAAACAAAUCAUUUUCAGGAAUAAAAAUAAGUUUGAUUUGUUUUAGGAAAACAAUUUUUUGACCAGGGGGCUUAUUUUUUACCCGGGUGAGGGGAGGGGAAACAAACAUAUUUUUAAUUUUGGC